Molecule: ribosomal RNA, 501 nt
Filed under: uncultured bacterium
Lineage: Bacteria
Description: partial 16S ribosomal RNA
Rfam family: Bacterial small subunit ribosomal RNA
Source: RNAcentral
GACGAACGCUGGCGGCGUGCUUAACACAUGCAAGUCGAGCGGAGAGAGGUAGCUUGCUACUGAUCUUAGCGGCGGACGGGUGAGUAAUGCUUAGGAAUCUGCCUAUUAGUGGGGGACAACAUUUCGAAAGGAAUGCUAAUACCGCAUACGUCCUACGGGAGAAAGCAGGGGAUCUUCGGACCUUGCGCUAAUAGAUGAGCCUAAGUCGGAUUAGCUAGUUGGUGGGGUAAAGGCCUACCAAGGCGACGAUCUGUAGCGGGUCUGAGAGGAUGAUCCGCCACACUGGGACUGAGACACGGCCCGGACUCCUACGGGAGGCAGCAGUGGGGAAUAUUGGACAAUGGGCGGAAGCCUGAUCCAGCCAUGCCGCGUGUGUGAAGAAGGCCUUAUGGUUGUAAAGCACUUUAAGCGAGGAGGAGGCUACUUUAGUUAAUACCUAGAGAUAGUGGACGUUACUCGCAGAAUAAGCACCGGCUAACUCUGUGCCAGCCGCCGCAGUAA